RNAcentral lists this ribosomal RNA (255 nucleotides) under uncultured bacterium. Its description in RNAcentral is "partial 16S ribosomal RNA". It matches the Rfam family "Bacterial small subunit ribosomal RNA", at positions 99 to 354 of the family's 1533-position model. The record is from RNAcentral.
CGGACGGGUGAGUAACGCGUGGAAAACCUGCCGUAUACUGGGGGAUAACACUUAGAAAUAGGUGCUAAUACCGCAUAAGCGCACAGCUUCGCAUGAAGCGGUGUGAAAAACUCUGGUGGUAUACGAUGGUUCCGCGCCUGAUUAGCUAGUUGGUGGGGUAAUGGCCUACCAAGGCAACGAUCAGUAGCCGGCCUGAGAGGGUGAACGGCCACAUUGGGACUGAGACACGGCCCAAACUCCUACGGAAGGCAGCAG